This is a long non-coding RNA of Amblyraja radiata (thorny skate), 230 nucleotides long. RefSeq lists it as uncharacterized. Lineage: Eukaryota; Metazoa; Chordata; Chondrichthyes; Rajiformes; Rajidae. The transcript has 3 exons. The record is from RefSeq and is a predicted model, not a curated record.
CUAUAUAAAUUAACUUUGUUAUUCUGCUGUGCGGAUUCUCCCGAUGCCAGAGCACCAUCAUCCAGCGAGAACGGCAUGGAACAUCGGGCCUCCGUAGAGGCGACUGCAGAGUCCUCAAUAGGCCCGACUAUGGGUGAACUGGGGAUGGGUCUGGACAUUGUGCCUUCCCACCCAGUGGGAACCAUUUUGCGGGGAUGUUUUUAUGUUUAUUGUUAAAUUUCUUUAAUGUU